UUGGAGGGCAAGUCUGGUGCCAGCAGCCGCGGUAAUUCCAGCUCCAAUAGCGUAUAUUAAAGUUGUUGCAGUUAAAAAGCUCGUAGUUGAAUUUCGGGAUUCGUCGGUUGGUCGGGCUUCACUGUCCGCACUGACCUGACGGGUUCCUACCUUCUGAAUAACCAGCAUGCUAUUAAGUUAGUGCGUUGGGGAAGCAGAGCUAUUACCUUGAAAAAAUUAGAGUGCUUAAAGCAGGCUUGUGCUUGAAUAGAUUAGCAUGGAAUAAUAAAAUAGGACGGCAUGGUUCUAUUUUGUUGGUUUCUAGGAUCACCGUAAUGAUUAAUAUGGAUAGUUGGGGGCAUUAGUAUUCAAUUGUCAGAGGUGAAACUCUUGGAUUUAUUGAAGACUAACUUCUGCGAAAGCAUUUGCCAAGGAUGUUUUCAUUAAUCAAGAACGAAAGUUAGGGGAUCGAAGACGAUCAGAUACCGUCGUAGUCUUAACCAUAAACUAUGCCGACUAGGGAUCGGACGAUGUUAAUUUUUUAAUGACUCGUUCGGCGCCUUACGGGAAAC
RNAcentral lists this ribosomal RNA (551 nucleotides) under uncultured Acaulospora. Its description in RNAcentral is "SSU rRNA". It matches the Rfam family "Eukaryotic small subunit ribosomal RNA", at positions 548 to 1098 of the family's 1831-position model. The record is from RNAcentral. Lineage: Eukaryota; Fungi; Glomeromycota; Glomeromycetes; Diversisporales; Acaulosporaceae.